UACGAGUGGCUCAAGCGUUAUCCGGAAUUAUUGGGCGUAAAGGGUAUGUAGGUGGUUAUGUUAGUCGGAUGUCCAACCUCUGGGCUUAACCUGGAGACAGCAUUCGAAACGGCAUGACUAGAGUAUGUUAGGGGUGAGCGGAACUCAUAGUGUAGGGGUGAAAUCCGUUGAUAUUAUGGGGAACACCAAAAGCGAAGGCAGCUCACUGGGACAUUACUGACACUGAAAUACGAAAGCGUGGGUAGCGAAUGGG
This 253-nucleotide ribosomal RNA is filed under the name uncultured bacterium. Its description in RNAcentral is "partial 16S ribosomal RNA". It matches the Rfam family "Bacterial small subunit ribosomal RNA", at positions 524 to 776 of the family's 1533-position model. The record is from RNAcentral.